GCUUACACAUGCAAGUCGAACGAGAAAGGGAUUGCUUGCAAUCCUGAGUAGAGUGGCGCACGGGUGAGUAACGCGUAGAUAAUCUACCUCCAAGCCCGGGAUAACUAUCCGAAAGGGUGGCUAAUACCGGAUGAAGUGAUUUAACAUAAGCUGAAUCAUGAAAGAUGGCCUCUUCCUGAAAGCAAUUGUUUGGAGAUGAGUUUGCGGACCAUUAGUUAGUUGGUGGGGUAACGGCCUACCAAGACGACGAUGGUUAGCUGGUCUGAGAGGAUGAUCAGCCACACUGGAACUGGUACACGGUCCAGACUCCUACGGGAGGCAGCAGUGAGGAAUUUUGCGCAAUGGGGGCAACCCUGACGCAGCAACGCCGCGUGAGUGAAGAAGGCCUUUGGGUCGUAAAGCUCUGUCGACAGGGAAGAAAUUAUUGUUAUUUAAAAGAUGAUGGUAUUGACGGUACCUGUAGAGGAAGCACCGGCUAACUCCGUGCCAGCAGCCGCGGUAAUACGGGGGGUGCAAGCGUUAUUCGGAAUUAUUGGGCGUAAAGGGCGCGUAGGCGGUCUUGUCGGUCAGAUGUGAAAGCCCGGGGCUCAACCCCGGACGUGCAUUUGAAACAGCAAGACUUGAGUACGGGAGAGGAAAGCGGAAUUCCUGGUGUAGAGGUGAAAUUCGUAGAUAUCAGGAGGAACACCGAUGGCGAAGGCAGCUUUCUGGACCGAUACUGACGCUGAGGCGCGAAGGCGUGGGUAGCGAACAGGAUUAGAUACCCUGGUAGUCCACGCAGUAAACGAUGUUCACUAGGUGUGGCGGAUAUUAAAAUCUGCUGUGCCCAAGCUAACGCAUUAAGUGAACCGCCUGGGGAGUACGGUCGCAAGACUAAAACUCAAGGAAUUGACGGGGGCCCGCACAAGCGGUGGAACAUGUGGUUUAAUUCGACGCACCGCGAAGACCUUACCUGGAGUUUGAC
Molecule: ribosomal RNA, 964 nt
Filed under: Desulfobacteraceae bacterium enrichment culture clone MS_LAC_O1
Lineage: Bacteria; Pseudomonadati; Thermodesulfobacteriota; Desulfobacteria; Desulfobacterales; Desulfobacteraceae
Description: bacterial SSU rRNA
Rfam family: Bacterial small subunit ribosomal RNA
Source: RNAcentral